GCUCUGUAGAAAAUCAUGCAUGAGGAUACCAUUUAGCGUAUAAAUAUUGCAUCAAAUAUGACUACAAAAUAUCCCAUUACUCUUGAAUGACAAACCAUAACAUAUUAUUUUUUAAGUUUAAUGGUUCAUUAUGUUUACUGAUUCCAACAAUUAUGUACAGUUUCCAGUCAAUCCCUCCAAGAAAAAAAGUUCCAUAACUCUGGAGGGACACCUGGUUAGUCAAACUUAAUCUGUCGGUUGCUUCUUUUAUUAAUCCCAAACAAAUAGGAUUUUUUCUAAGACAUCUGAUUAUUUAAUCAGACUUUGUAUGCAAUAUGCCAAAAAAGGAAAAGAAAAUAGGACGCAUUCUUCCAUCAGUACUAUUACUAAUGGUUCAAGCAAAUUUGAGGUAGCACACUAAAUGAUGAUGGAGGAAUGUAUGGACAAUGGUAUACCAUAAAACAUCCUGUCUUUGACUGGUG
This 461-nucleotide long non-coding RNA is filed under the name Mytilus galloprovincialis (Mediterranean mussel). Lineage: Eukaryota; Metazoa; Mollusca; Bivalvia; Mytilida; Mytilidae. The record is from RNAcentral.